CUGUAGACAUAUGGUGGUGGAGGAGAUUUGUAGUCAACCUUAGGGGAAGGUGAGUAGUAUGGUGGUGGAGGAGAUUUGUAGUCAACCUUAGGGGAAGGUGAGUAGUAUGGUGGUGGUGGUGAACUAUAGACGUAUGGUGGUGGUGGAGAUUUGUAAUCUACCUUAGGGGCAGGUGAGUAGUAUGGUGGUGGGGGUGAGCUGUAGACAUACGGUGGUGGGGGAGAUUUGUAGUCUACCUUCGGGGAAGGUGAGUAGUAUGGUGGUGGUGGUGAGCUAUAGACGUACGGUGGUGGAGGAGAUUUGUAGUCUACUUUAGGGGAAGGUGAGUAGUAUGGUGGUGGUGGUGAGCUGUAGACGUACGGUGGUGGGGGAGAUUUGUAGUCUACCUUAGGGGAAGGUGAGUAGUAUGGUGGUGGUGGUGAGCUGUAGACGUACGGUGGUGGGGGAGACUUGUAAACUACUUUAGGAGAAG
This 472-nucleotide long non-coding RNA is filed under the name Arabidopsis thaliana (thale cress). RNAcentral describes it as "long non-coding RNA (ATHA_LNC000136)". The record is from RNAcentral. Lineage: Eukaryota; Viridiplantae; Streptophyta; Magnoliopsida; Brassicales; Brassicaceae.